RNAcentral lists this ribosomal RNA (429 nucleotides) under Verrucomicrobiota bacterium. RNAcentral's name for it is "Verrucomicrobia bacterium partial 16S ribosomal RNA". It matches the Rfam family "Bacterial small subunit ribosomal RNA", at positions 355 to 776 of the family's 1533-position model. Lineage: Bacteria; Pseudomonadati; Verrucomicrobiota. The record is from RNAcentral.
UAGGGAAUCUUCGGCAAUGGGGGGAACCCUGACCGAGCAACGCCGCGUGAGUGAAGAAGGUUUUCGGAUCGUAAAGCUCUGUUGUUAAGGAAGAACGAGUGUGAGAAUGGAAAGUUCAUGCUGUGACGGUACUUAACCAGAAAGGGACGGCUAACUACGUGCCAGCAGCCGCGGUAAUACGUAGGUCCCGAGCGUUGUCCGGAUUUAGUGGGCGUAAAGCGAGCGCAGGCGGUUAGAAAAGUCUGAAGUGAAAGGCAGUGGCUCAACCAUUGUAGGCUUUGGAAACUGUUUAACUUGAGUGCAGAAGGGGAGAGUGGAAUUCCAUGUGUAGCGGUGAAAUGCGUAGAUAUAUGGAGGAACACCGGUGGCGAAAGCGGCUCUCUGGUCUGUAACUGACGCUGAGGCUCGAAAGCGUGGGGAGCGAACAGG